GUGCUCACUUUGGCAGCACAUAUACUAAAAUUGGAACGACACAGAGAAGAUUAGCAUGGCCUCUGCGCAAGGAUGACAUGCAAAACCAUUCUGGGAGGCCAAUCUAA
Molecule: small nuclear RNA, 107 nt
Organism: Suncus etruscus (white-toothed pygmy shrew)
Lineage: Eukaryota; Metazoa; Chordata; Mammalia; Eulipotyphla; Soricidae
Source: RefSeq, a predicted model, not a curated record